GCCGGACUGACUGCUAUCGGAUGGACUAGCCAUGCGAGUCAUUGUACAAUACAAGCGGACGGCUCAUAACACGUAUCAACCUAACUCGUGGACGUGGAUAACCUCGGGAAACUGAGAAUAAACCACGAUAGAUCAUAGUGCCUGGAAUGGCUUAUGGUCAAAACAGUUUACUGCCAUGGGAUGGGACUGCGGCCUAUCAGCUUGUUGGUGAGGGGUAAUGGCCCAGCAAGGCGAUUACAGGUACGGGCUCUGAGAGGAGAAGCCCGGAGAUGGGUACUGAGACACGGACCCAGGCCCUAUGGGGCGCAGCAGGCGAGAAACCUUAGCAAUGUGCGAAAGCACGACUGGGUCAGUCCGAGUGAUUCCUGAUAAAGGAGUCUUUUGCUUGUCCUAAAAGCACAGGUGAAUAAGGGGUGGGCAAGUCUGGUGUCAGCCGCCGCGGUAAUACCAGCACCUCGAGUGGUCAGGACGUUUAUUGGGCCUAAAGCAUCCGUAGCCGGCUCUGCAAGUCUUCGGUUAAAUCCACCUGCUCAACAGAUGGGCUGCUGGAGAUACUACAGAGCUAGGGAGUGGGAGAGGCAGACGGUAUUCAGUGGG
This 597-nucleotide ribosomal RNA is filed under the name uncultured archaeon. Its description in RNAcentral is "bacterial SSU rRNA". It matches the Rfam family "Archaeal small subunit ribosomal RNA", at positions 16 to 626 of the family's 1478-position model. The record is from RNAcentral.